RNAcentral lists this ribosomal RNA (461 nucleotides) under uncultured bacterium. Its description in RNAcentral is "partial 16S ribosomal RNA". It matches the Rfam family "Bacterial small subunit ribosomal RNA", at positions 338 to 795 of the family's 1533-position model. The record is from RNAcentral.
CCUAUGGGUGGCAGCAGUGAGGAAUAUUGGUCAAUGGGCGCGAGCCUGAACCAGCCAAGUCGCGUGAGGGAGGACGGCCCUACGGGUUGUAAACCUCUUUUGCCGGGGAGCAACGGGCGUCACGUGUGGCGCCACUGAGAGUACCCGGAGAAAAAGCAUCGGCUAACUCCGUGCCAGCAGCCGCGGUAAUACGGAGGAUGCGAGCGUUAUCCGGAUUUAUUGGGUUUAAAGGGUGCGUAGGCGGUUCGAUAAGUUAGAGGUGAAAUCCCGGGGCUCAACUCCGGCACUGCCUCUGAUACUGUCGGGCUAGAGUUUAGUUGCGGUAGGCGGAAUGUAUGGUGUAGCGGUGAAAUGCAUAGAGAUCAUACAGAACACCGAUUGCGAAGGCAGCUUACCAAACUACGACUGACGUUGAGGCACGAAAGCGUGGGGAGCAAACAGGAUUAGAUACCCUAGUAGUC